Molecule: long non-coding RNA, 1675 nt
Filed under: Danio rerio (zebrafish)
Lineage: Eukaryota; Metazoa; Chordata; Actinopteri; Cypriniformes; Danionidae
Description: lncRNA im:7154473 (ENSDARG00000097825.3)
Source: RNAcentral
GCCAUUAAAAUAACAAGAAGAAGGGGAUGUGAUUUUCUCUCACGCUGGUUGAAAAGAAACUGUAGUCUCAUAUUUCUGGAUCUCAUUAAAUCUCCAGCAUUCACAGAUUGAGGUAGUGAGGAAAGGUGAGACACUCUAACUUCUCAGCAAGUGCUACUGAGUGAUAUUUACGCUACUAUUACCGAUUUGGACCAUAAGAAAAACCACGCAUACGUUCAAGAGUCAUAAAUCAGCAGCAUAAUAAUUCCCCAACAUGCACUAAAGACUGAGGCUUGGAGGAUUCAUCGCACAACAAAGGACCUCAGACUGCUGCUCAAAGACCAGCUGUAUUUGUGUCCUGGAACAAGACAGUUCCACUUGUAAGAGCACCGUGUGAAGAUUUGAUUAGUGGAGUAAUAGCACAGUUUUGCUUAAAAUAUUCCAACACACAGCAUUAUGGGUGACACAUCAGAGUUCACAAGAGGACAAAUUGUUGGUGCACGUCUCUCUGGUGCAUCUGUGACCAAGGCAGCAGAUCUUUGUGGUGUAUCAAGAGCCACAGUAUCCAGAGUAACAUCAGCAUACAUCCAAGAAGGACGAACCACAUCCAACAGGAAUAACUGUGGAAGUAAGAGGAAGCUGUCUGAAAGGGAUGUCCGCGUGCUAACCCGGAUUGUAUCUAAAAACCAUGUAACCACAGCUGCCCAAUUCACAGCAGAGUUAAAUGUGCACCUCAAAUCUCCGGUUUCCACCAAAACUGUUCGGCGGGAGCUCCACAGGGUCAAUAUAUAUGGGCAGUUUCCUAUAGCCAAACCUUUGGUUGACUCAUGCGAAUGCCAACCGUCCGUUUCAGUGAAGCCAGGAGAGAAAAUCUUAGGCUGUGGACAAUGUGAAACAUGUAUUGCUCAGGAUUCUGAUACAGAAAGUACUUGAAUCUCAGACUCAUUGAUUCCUGGAAGGCAUAGGAAGAACUUGAAAACACACAUAGGUCCUUAAAAGUGCUUCAAAUAAAUGUGAAAAUAAACUUGUUUCAAAAAUGCUACUGUGUUGCUGUCAACAACAGAAUGAAAGUGCUGACGUACGUGUGUGUAGUUAUAUUUGUUGCGCAGCCUAAUCGUUUAAUAACCCAGGAUAUCCCCUGGACAUAUGUGGCCACAUUAUGGCUCCGAGUUGAUCACAACCACAAUCAAUGCUUGUAUGACCGUUCACAGCAAUUAUGGUGUUAUAGUUUGCUACAUAUUUUGCAUAAAAGCAAGCAAGAAAGCAAAGAAUUGGUUGAAUGCGUUGAAGGUAAUUGUUCUUUAUAUUCAUGAGAUUUCAUAUGUAACGCCUUUUAAGAUGUAGCUAUUGGGGGUUUUAAUAUAUAGAGAAUUAUGGUGAGGGGUCCACCUCUGAUAUCUCUUACCUGGUCAUUUGCAACCAUCAAAACAUGAAAACUGGUGAUGAGGUUUUUUUUUUAACUAGUAUAUAUAAUAGUUGGCUAAUAGUGUUAAACGGGUACAGUUUUAGGUCAAGAGCAAAACCCAAAUUUAAACUUCACUGACACUAUAUAUUGGUUUCAUUUACAUUUUGUAUCUGUACAGAAAUUGAUAUGCCAUGUCAUUUUGGCAAAGAUGAAUAAGUGAAUAAGCACGAGGUGGAAUAAAUGCUGGGUAUCUGCACACUAGGGAGUGAAUGGAAUACAAAAGCAGACAAA